RNAcentral lists this ribosomal RNA (427 nucleotides) under uncultured bacterium. RNAcentral describes it as "partial 16S ribosomal RNA". It matches the Rfam family "Bacterial small subunit ribosomal RNA", at positions 355 to 774 of the family's 1533-position model. The record is from RNAcentral.
UGGGGAAUAUUGCACAAUGGGCGCAAGCCUGAUGCAGCCAUGCCGCGUGUAUGAAGAAGGCCUUCGGGUUGUAAAGUACUUACAGCGAGGAGGAAGGCGUUGUGGUUAAUAACCGCAGCGAUUGACGUUACUCGCAGAAGAAGCACCGGCUAACUCCGUGCCAGCAGCCGCGGUAAUACGGAGGGUGCAAGCGUUAAUCGGAAUUACUGGGUGUAAAGCGCACGCAGGCGGUCUGUCAAGUCGGAUGUGAAAUCCCCGGGCUCAACCUGGGAACUGCAUCCGAAACUGGCAGGCUAGAGUCUUGUAGAGGGGGGUAGAAUUCCAGGUGUAGCGGUGAAAUGCGUAGAGAUCUGGAGGAAUACCGGUGGCGAAGGCGGCCCCCUGGACAAAGACUGACGCUCAGGUGCGAAAGCGUGGGGAGCAAACA